Molecule: ribosomal RNA, 804 nt
Filed under: Salmonella enterica
Lineage: Bacteria; Pseudomonadati; Pseudomonadota; Gammaproteobacteria; Enterobacterales; Enterobacteriaceae
Description: partial 23S ribosomal RNA
Rfam family: Bacterial large subunit ribosomal RNA
Source: RNAcentral
UAGGAUAGGUGGGAGGCUUUGAAGUGUGGACGCCAGUCUGCAUGGAGCCGACCUUGAAAUACCACCCUUUAAUGUUUGAUGUUCUAACGUGGACCCGUUACCCGGGUUGCGGACAGUGUCUGGUGGGUAGUUUGACUGGGGCGGUCUCCUCCUAAAGAGUAACGGAGGAGCACGAAGGUUGGCUAAUCCUGGUCGGACAUCAGGAGGUUAGUGCAAUGGCAUAAGCCAGCCUGACUGCGAGCGUGACGGCGCGAGCAGGUGCGAAAGCAGGUCAUAGUGAUCCGGUGGUUCUGAAUGGAAGGGCCAUCGCUCAACGGAUAAAAGGUACUCCGGGGAUAACAGGCUGAUACCGCCCAAGAGUUCAUAUCGACGGCGGUGUUUGGCACCUCGAUGUCGGCUCAUCACAUCCUGGGGCUGAAGUAGGUCCCAAGGGUAUGGCUGUUCGCCAUUUAAAGUGGUACGCGAGCUGGGUUUAGAACGUCGUGAGACAGUUCGGUCCCUAUCUGCCGUGGGCGCUGGAGAACUGAGGGGGGCUGCUCCUAGUACGAGAGGACCGGAGUGGACGCAUCACUGGUGUUCGGGUUGUCAUGCCAAUGGCACUGCCCGGUAGCUAAAUGCGGAAGAGAUAAGUGCUGAAAGCAUCUAAGCACGAAACUUGCCCCGAGAUGAGUUCUCCCUGAGACUUAGAGUCUCCUGAAGGAACGUUGAAGACGACGACGUUGAUAGGCCGGGUGUGUAAGCGCAGCGAUGCGUUGAGCUAACCGGUACUAAUGAACCGUGAGGCUUAACCUUACAACGCCGAAG